RNAcentral lists this ribosomal RNA (369 nucleotides) under uncultured bacterium. RNAcentral describes it as "bacterial SSU rRNA". It matches the Rfam family "Bacterial small subunit ribosomal RNA", at positions 288 to 671 of the family's 1533-position model. The record is from RNAcentral.
CGGCCUGAGAGGGCGACCGGCCACACUGGGACUGAGACACGGCAGAAACCUACGGGAGGCAGCAGUGGGGAAUAUUGGGCAAUGGAGGAAACUCUGACCCAGCGACGCCGCGUGCGGGAUGAAGGCCUUCGGGUUGUAAACCGCUUUCAGCAGGGAAGAAGCGAAAGUGACGGUACCUGCAGAAGAAGCACCGGCUAACUAUGUGCCAGCAGCCGCGGUAAUACAUAGGGUGCAAGCGUUGUCCGGAAUUAUUGGGCGUAAAGAGCUCGUAGGUGGUUCGUUACGUCGGAUGUGAAAAUCUGGGGCUCAACCCCAGACCUGCAUUCGAUACGGGCGAGCUAGAGUUUGGUAGGGGAGACUGGAAUUCCU